Molecule: long non-coding RNA, 637 nt
Filed under: Sander lucioperca (pikeperch)
Lineage: Eukaryota; Metazoa; Chordata; Actinopteri; Perciformes; Percidae
Description: lncRNA (ENSSLUG00000009093.1)
Source: RNAcentral
CUGCUGUGAGGGCGGAGCUGGUCAAAGUGUUCGGGGAGAGUCUUCAUUUUGACGUGGAGGUGAAGCCUCAGAGCCCCGCCUCCAACCAGGCGGCUGUCAUCGCUCUGGCAACCUUGUUGGCCCUGAGCAUGCUGGGAUUGAUUGUCGCUGUCGCCUUGAUCAUCAGGUUUAAGAGGACACAGAAACAUCAAGAUUCUGACAAGGAGAGUUUUGACAUCGACCGACACGCUGAAGGUUACACGUAAGUCCUCCCAAUGUUCAAACGUCUUCACAGUUCUCCAUUUGACGCCUGCUUUUAAUAGAAAUCCCUCCCAUUUGUUCCAGGAACUGGUCACAGGAGAGUCCUGAAACAUCUGAACAGGUAAAAGAGAAAAAAAAAGAAAAAAUUUAAAGUGUUGCGAUGACAUAAGUUGACAGUCAGUCCUGUGAGAACCACGUAUCUCUCAAAAGUUUUUAAACUUUUAAUGGUGUCAGCUUUGUGACGAUGCAUUUGAUCAGCUGAUCAAAGAGGCUUUUUAAAGACUUUAUUUAGUUUUGAAGGAGGAGAGGUUUCCCAACACGUAAAGGAACAUCCUUCAGUUUAUCACAAACAUUCAACAUCAACACAUCUGGAGAUGCGUGGUUUUCACUGGACAGG